AUGGCAGUUCUCAGAACAGCAGACAAUAAUUUUGCCUUUAUAAAUCAUAUGGUAUGGGCAAUAGCUGGAUCAACGGGUGGAAGCAGGCAGACGCCUAGUAAAUGCCCUAUCCAGCCCUAUCCACGUGAAAAACUUAAGUUAUUUGGUACCAGUAUUGUCCCAGGCAGGGCUCAGGUGAUGAGAGGUCAGCAGAUGUCCCACAUCCAGCCACCUCUCCGUGGACUAAAAGCAGCUCAGUGCUCUCUCCAAUGGAGAGGUCCCGAGGAAGGUUACGCUGAUGCAGAAAGAUCAAGUCGCGCCAAGACAACGAUGAUCAGGCUUGCAAAAGAGCCCAGUUUCCAUGGAGGCUCCUACGUGAAGCGAUCCAAAUUUUGCAGAGACUUCAUCCAGAAAGACUGGCUCAAAUCUGCUUCCGAGAGCUGCUGAGUCCUACAUACAACAAAAGGACAAAUGCAAGAGCCUGAUUAAAAAACCAAGGCAAGUCCCUUCUGUUUCAGAGUAUCAGAAGUUGGUGCAAACAGUGGGGAUCAAAACCCACAGUGACUUUGCAGUAUGACUAGCAGCAGCGCUGCUGAGGCAAGCAUUGAAUCUGGCCACAGCUUAGGCAUUUUGGCCCUUCUGCUUCAGAGGCACAUGAACCAUCGCUUUUGGGGAAAUGCACAAAUAGGUUGUUCUUCUCUAAGCCUGUGCUUUGACCACACUGAGCUGGAAAUGUAAAUUCUCGCCAGCCUGCAAAAUGCUUUGCAUUGUCACACGUAGAAUUAACGGCAGUAUUUAUGAGGACCAAACAGACUAAAUAUGAAGCUUUGCAUGCUAUCUCUGCCCCUGAACAAAACUUCCCAUGUCCUUAUAAUUCAGGCCUAUCUGCUAGAGCUGACAUCAUGUCCUUUCCACUCACAUUGAACUGCAGGAAAGUCUUUCUGCUCUAGGAGUUCGAGCAGACUUUCCUGUUUUCACCCAAACCCGGAUAUUGCACCUAAUAGACAACACCACCUCUCUAUUUAUCCAGAUAUUUUUAAUUUAUUAGGAGCAGUCACCCACAGUAUUAGCUGUUUUAUAAUUAAAAUGCACAAAAGAACAGGAUUAACUGGCAGAACACAAGCAGCUACCUACCCAACAAAGACAGGGC
This 1129-nucleotide long non-coding RNA is filed under the name Anas platyrhynchos platyrhynchos (common mallard). RNAcentral's name for it is "lncRNA (ENSAPLG00000017275.1)". Lineage: Eukaryota; Metazoa; Chordata; Aves; Anseriformes; Anatidae. The record is from RNAcentral.